Molecule: long non-coding RNA, 766 nt
Organism: Mauremys mutica (yellowpond turtle)
Lineage: Eukaryota; Metazoa; Chordata; Testudines; Geoemydidae
Exons: 6
Source: RefSeq, a predicted model, not a curated record
AGUUCAGCUGGGCCCAGUAAGCUUGGUACCGGACUCCUGUAUCUACACUUGGCAUUACUCCGAACUGCCACCACAACUGCCAGGCAAGUUCCUGCUCCACCCACUAGACUAACACGGCUACCACUCUGAAACCCAUCUUCUGAGAAUGUAUCCACAGUGUAUGGGCAGUAGAAGUGAGCCAGCUGUUUGAAGAAACACCAGGAACCUAUCUCCAUGCAGUCAUCCAUCUCCUUCCACCUAGAGUCCAUUUCUGGACCAAGAAAUCCACUGGCUGCAGCUGUUACAUUUCUGUGUCUUCUCCAUCACCGAGAUCUUGGGAAUCAAGUACAGUACACCUCUCUAACUGCCUGAUCCCGUGACUUCGUCUCUAUAUAAUCCACAAACACCACAUGGUACCAGGAGUGGGCGAAUAAGAGUAUAUGACAAAGGGGGAUAAAGAAAAUGGAGCAGCUAAGAGCUUCACUGGAGUUGAAUUUAUCUGGCAGUUCAGGCAACUGGAAGAGAGUUCAACAGAGAUUCAGCCUGUACAAGCAAGCAAGUGGCUUCAUUGAAAAAGAAGAUAAGCAGAAGUUGCUAUCUGGUCACCCUAUAAGAACUGCUCUGUGAAAUGGGCUUGAAACUGACUAGAAAUGAAACUGAAACUGCUACUGAGAAGCUUUUGAUCAGAUAAGAAGAGUCAGACACUGUGAUGCAUCUGUAUGAUUUUAUACUGUGCAAGAAAGGAUAAAAGGAUACUUCAUCUGGAUUUGGACUUCCCCAAAAGUUU